UAUCAAUCUAUUUAUUUAUCCAAAUAGAAGUUGAGCUGUGGUUGCAUUUGGAUAUGUAUGAAGAAUGAAUUUGAAAUGAAUGGAUUUGGAGUUAAUAUGCUAGUCUAACUUAAAUGAUGUGUAAGGCCAUGAAUUAUCUUAAUUUAUAGAUGUUGACCUAAAAACUCAAAUUCAUAUCCUUGGACUGCAAGUUCUCAGUCCAAGCUCUUCCUAAUGAAAUUUGAAGUCUAUUAAUACAUGGGAGUUGAAGAGAAAAUAGUGUGUAAGCUAAGCAGAAGUUGAAGUUGUUUAGAAUUGAAUUUUGAAGAAUGGUAAAUAAUCUUUUACACUUGUCUGAAAAGUGCAUGGAACGAAAUUUUUUUAACUAAAAAUGUGGAUAUUUAUAGAAUCACCUUUGUGAUACAGCAUUGAAAUGCAAGUGAGAAGACGGCUGUUGGCUUGAUAUAUUAUUUAUUAUGAACUGUGAAUUUCAGUAUUCUUGCAAAUGCUCAUUCUUUCAUGAAAAUGCUGGAGUCUCUGUGGCACGAUCUGUUAUAUAUCUAGUGAUAUUCUGUUAUAUCUUCUGUUGCUCUGUUACAGGACACAUGCGUUUGUAUUAGUAUAUGCAUAUGUAUGUAUACAUAUAAAGUAGGUUAGCAUUGACAUCAAUGCAUAAAAUAUCAAAAUAACAUACCAUUUAUUGAUGCAUAUUUGGCUUCUUCACGUGAACCUCUGAAUUCAGCAGUAUUAAUCACUAAAAUAUCCCAACUUGUUUUUUGCAAUGGGAAGAUUUGGGAAUGCAAAACUUCUCAUAUUAUCUUGCUUGCUGAUGUAUCUUUUCUCUAGAAUUUUUUGGAUUGGUACACAAAUCCAAACCUCGCUAAAUUGUCAUCUAUAGAUGUACUGAGUGAUUGACCCUAAAUCUGUCAGUUUUUGAAAUAAUGGAAUUGGAAAUUGUGUAACAAAUGUCUGAAACUGGCCGAAACAGCAGCCAAUUUUGUGAUUUUUUAUACCAUUAGCAAAAUGAGUAAAAUCAACAGUAAGCAAGUAUUGAAUUACAUGUCAUUAUAAUCUUGCAUAUCUUAUGAUUGUAAUAAAAAGAAAAGAAAUAAAUUGUUAUAAACAGCAAUUUAAAAGAAUUUUACAUUCUUAUAUGAAUGGCUUAUAAUACUAAAUCAUUAAAAAAUUGUUAUAUAAUAAAUCAUUAAAAAAUUGAUAUAUAAUUAA
RNAcentral lists this unclassified non-coding RNA (1206 nucleotides) under Hevea brasiliensis (rubber tree). Lineage: Eukaryota; Viridiplantae; Streptophyta; Magnoliopsida; Malpighiales; Euphorbiaceae. The record is from RNAcentral.